This is a long non-coding RNA of Capsicum annuum, 1755 nucleotides long. RefSeq lists it as uncharacterized. The record is from RefSeq and is a predicted model, not a curated record. The transcript is spliced from 3 exons. NCBI's taxonomy places the organism in Eukaryota, Viridiplantae, Streptophyta, Magnoliopsida, Solanales, Solanaceae.
AAUGCUGAUGUCACACCCUUUUUUCCUUAAAUUAGUAAUAAUGGAAUAGUGCCAUUCCAUGGCCGCCUCAAGAUUGCCGCACCCUUUAUCCCCUUUUUCAAAUAUCCUAUAAUUGCCAACAAAUAAUUGGCUUUCUGUUAUAUUUACCAGUGCUUUCCUUUUCAAUUUGGGGUAUAAUUGGUCAACUUUAAUCCUUUUUAAAUUUUCCAGCAACCUUACCACUAGCACAUGUGAGUUCAAAAUAAUAAUUCUUUUCCAUUAAAACCCAACCAUGUCAGUACACAUCAAUUUUCAAGUCCAAAUAGGCAUAGGAUGCUUCCACCGCCUCUACUGUAAUCAUUUUUUUUUGAAGGAAAAUAUUACUCCCAAUUUUAUUCCAUUAAGGAGGAUGGAUCUAUCCGUCUCUAUAAAAAGACCUCUUUGGUCAUCAAUUUGCACAGAUACUUGAGGUAUUCAGCAGCUUUGCAUCGAAUCAAAAAUCGGCAGCAAGAUGGUGGAUAUCGGCAUAAUGUGCGAGAGUUAACUUUAUCUUCGUCAUCUUAAGAUCAAAAGAUUUUGCUUGAAAAUGGUGGACAUCAGCUUAAGGUGUGAGAGUUUAACUUUGCAUUCGUCACCUUAAGACCGAAAGAUUUUACUUGAAGAAGGUGGAUAUCGGCUUAAGGUGUGAGAGUUUAACUUCGCCUCGUUACCUUAAGACAGAAAGAUUUUGCUUGAAGACGGUGGACAUCGGCUUAAGGUGCGGGAGUUUAACUUUACCUUCGUCACCUUUAAAACUGAAAGAUUUUGCUUGAAGAUGGUAGACAUCGGCUUAAGUUUGCAGAGAUGGUUCACUUUAGAGACUACAUAUCUUCAUCCUCUAAAAGAAAGUAUCUCCUAAUUGAGGCCGAUGAUGGUACAGUUUUAACUAGGCUAUUGGUUGAAACUCCAAUAGUAGACAGGUAAGCAGAUCUGUGGCCACCUUUGCAAAAUUCUCUCUAUAUGUCAUAUUGGACUUUAGAACAUGACAUUAGUGCUAAUCGAUCGAUUAAAGUAUGGCUUCUUCAAACUCUCAACCAACGUCAAUUAAACAUUGCAAGCACCCUUUCUUGGUUAGGACGUCGGGUACUCAAAGAAGAAAUACGUUGGGGGGAACUAUGGAGAUAACUGGUGAAUAUCGUAAUACUCAAGGAUAUUGGGAAUGGGCUAAGGACAUAUUGGCUAGAAAUGCACAAAUCUUGAAGGCAAUAAAAAUAUAUGAUGCCGAUUAUGCUUCACUGUUUACCUAUGAUUGAAACUCAAACAUAUUACAUACAUUCUUUGAGGCUUGGUGUCCAACUACCAACACAUUGCUUACUUCAAUUAGAGAUCUAUCCAUAUCCCUUUGGGAUUUAUACAAAAUUGAAGGUUUAUUUAUCGAAGGUCUUCCUUAUGAAGAAGUAGCGCCCGAAGUGAAAGAGCUUACAGGUGUUGGUGAAAAGAAUGAGAGAUUUAUCCCUCGUUCUUGUGAAUUCUUGUUUGUAGUUUUCCAACAUCUUCAGCAAGGAGAUGCUUCUAAUUCGAGAGUUCCUAUAAGUAAGUUGAUAAAGUUUUGGUGCAAAAGGGUAUUAAGAUACAAGUCAGCUCUACUGAGGAAGGAGAAAAAAUAUGCUCGCUUGAAGUCAACCUGUAAUGCCCUGUACUUUUCCUAGCUAAUUUCAUCUCAAGAAUGUCUAGUAGUAGCUUUUAAAUUGAAUGAUGAUUAUUCUAUGAGAAAUUUUUAAGGUUUUCACUGUUUGU